This 900-nucleotide long non-coding RNA is filed under the name Jatropha curcas. Its description in RNAcentral is "long non-coding RNA (JCUR_LNC000815)". Lineage: Eukaryota; Viridiplantae; Streptophyta; Magnoliopsida; Malpighiales; Euphorbiaceae. The record is from RNAcentral.
UAAUUUAUCAACUUUAAAUAAAAGGUUAAGUAAUAUUUUAUAAUAAUACUAAUAAGAAUACUAAUAUUAAUAAUAAUAUUAUUAUUAAUAAGAAUAAUAUGAUUGAUAAUAUAAUAUUACUAACAAUAAUAAUUUUAUUCGUACUAUCUAUUAGAGUUAUAAAAAUAAUCUAAUUCCUACCGAAAUUUCGGCAAAAUCUCCCCUAAAAGUUGGACUAUCCACCUGUUAAAAUAUCAACAAUUUAUCAAACCACACAGCCCAUUCAUCGGGCAAUCAAUCAAAUCAAAUUUCCCAUCCUCCUUCAAUCUCAACAUCACCACACAAUCAAAAUUAUAAUUUACAAUAACAUUAUAUCUAAACUACCUUAAUCCACACUUCAAUUCUAUUAAUAUGUUAUUAUCAAGGUUCCUUAAUUAAAUCAACACUAAUAUUAUAAAUCAAUUAACUACUCACAAUUAAUAAAUUAAAUUAACUAAAUUAAUUAACUACAAAUAAUAAAAUUAAUUUAAUUAAAUAAUAUUACUAAAAUUAAAUUAACUAACCAAGAUUACUAAAAUUAAAUUAAUUAACCACAAUUAAUAAAAUAAAUUCAUACCCAAACAAAAUAUUAUUUUCUUGCAGGAUUUGGGAUUUUACGCGUACCGGAUUGAAACUACGCGUGCUGGAAGCGAUUGGACCACCUGAGAUCGACGCAGGAGGGGCUGACUUGCAGUGGUGGCGCGACAUGGUGGCGGAGCAACUAGCGGCGCAACUGCAGGCGCUAUGGUCGAAGACGCGCUGGAGCUGCAACUGAGCUGAGGCGCUGCUCCUGUCUACGGUGCUCGCUAGAUGGAGGCUGUGAAGAACGGCGAGCGGCGGUGAGGAGCGGUAUUUGCUCUAUGGCUCCGCUCGAGCUGGUGG